RNAcentral lists this ribosomal RNA (389 nucleotides) under uncultured bacterium. RNAcentral's name for it is "bacterial SSU rRNA". It matches the Rfam family "Bacterial small subunit ribosomal RNA", at positions 28 to 417 of the family's 1533-position model. The record is from RNAcentral.
GACGAACGCUGGCGGCGUGCUUAACACAUGCAAGUCGAGCGGUAAGGCCCUUUCGGGGGUACGACGAGCGGCGAACGGGUGAGUAACACGUGGGUGACCUGCCCUUAGCUCUGGGACAAGCCUGGGAAACUGGGUCUAAUACCGGAUAUGACUCCAUGACGCAUGUUGUGGGGUGGAAAGCCUUGUGCGGCUAGGGAUGGGCCCGCGGCCUAUCAGCUUGUUGGUGGGGUGAUGGCCUACCAAGGCGACGACGGGUAGCCGGCCUGAGAGGGCGACUGGCCACACUGGGACUGAGACACGGCCCAGACUCCUACGGGAGGCAGCAGUGGGGAAUCUUGCGCAAUGGGCGAAAGCCUGACGCAGCGACGCCGCGUGAGGGAUGACGGCCU